Molecule: ribosomal RNA, 564 nt
Filed under: uncultured bacterium
Lineage: Bacteria
Description: bacterial SSU rRNA
Rfam family: Bacterial small subunit ribosomal RNA
Source: RNAcentral
GCCCUUGAGGCGUGGCUUCCGGAGCUAACGCGUUAAGUCGACCGCCUGGGGAGUACGGCCGCAAGGUUAAAACUCAAAUGAAUUGACGGGGGCCCGCACAAGCGGUGGAGCAUGUGGUUUAAUUCGAUGCAACGCGAAGAACCUUACCUGGUCUUGACAUCCACAGAACUUUCCAGAGAUGGAUUGGUGCCUUCGGGAACUGUGAGACAGGUGCUGCAUGGCUGUCGUCAGCUCGUGUUGUGAAAUGUUGGGUUAAGUCCCGCAACGAGCGCAACCCUUAUCUUUUGUUGCCAGCGGUCCGGCCGGGAACUCAAAGGAGACUGCCAGUGAUAAACUGGAGGAAGGUGGGGAUGACGUCAAGUCAUCAUGGCCCUUACGACCAGGGCUACACACGUGCUACAAUGGCGCAUACAAAGAGAAGCGACCUCGCGAGAGCAAGCGGACCUCAUAAAGUGCGUCGUAGUCCGGAUUGGAGUCUGCAACUCGACUCCAUGAAGUCGGAAUCGCUAGUAAUCGUGGAUCAGAAUGCCACGGUGAAUACGUUCCCGGGCCUUGUACACACCG